AUAGAUGGGGUCGUACGAACUCUGGGUUGAUUGGUGCUUGCAUCAUGAUUUACAUUUGAGUGAGUGGCGAACUGGUGAGUAACACGUGGGAAACCUGCCCAGAAGCGGGGGAUAACACCUGGAAACAGAUGCUAAUACCGCAUAACAACUUGGACCGCAUGGUCCGAGUUUGAAAGAUGGCUUCGGCUAUCACUUUUGGAUGGUCCCGCGGCGUAUUAGCUAGAUGGUGGGGUAACGGCUCACCAUGGCAAUGAUACGUAGCCGACCUGAGAGGGUAAUCGGCCACAUUGGGACUGAGACACGGCCCAAACUCCUACGGGAGGCAGCAGUAGGGAAUCUUCCACAAUGGACGAAAGUCUGAUGGAGCAACGCCGCGUGAGUGAAGAAGGGUUUCGGCUCGUAAAACUCUGUUGUUAAAGAAGAACAUAUCUGAGAGUAACUGUUCAGGUAUUGACGGUAUUUAACCAGAAAGCCACGGCUAACUACGUGCCAGCAGCCGCGGUAAUACGUAGGUGGCAAGCGUUGUCCGGAUUUAUUGGGCGUAAAGCGAGCGCAGGCGGUUUUUUAAGUCUGAUGUGAAAGCCUUCGGCUCAACCGAAGAAGUGCAUCGGAAACUGGGAAACUUGAGUGCAGAAGAGGACAGUGGAACUCCAUGUGUAGCGGUGAAAUGCGUAGAUAUAUGGAAGAACACCAGUGGCGAAGGCGGCUGUCUGGUCUGUAACUGACGCUGAGGCUCGAAAGUAUGGGUAGCAAACAGGAUUAGAUACCCUGGUAGUCCAUACCGUAAACGAUGAAUGCUAAGUGUUGGAGGGUUUCCGCCCUUCAGUGCUGCAGCUAACGCAUUAAGCAUUCCGCCUGGGGAGUACGGCCGCAAGGCUGAAACUCAAAGGAAUUGACGGGGGCCCGCACAAGCGGUGGAGCAUGUGGUUUAAUUCGAAGCUACGCGAAGAACCUUACCAGGUCUUGACAUACUAUGCAAAUCUAAGAGAUUAGACGUUCCCUUCGGGGACAUGGAUACAGGUGGUGCAUGGUUGUCGUCAGCUCGUGUCGUGAGAUGUUGGGUUAAGUCCCGCAACGAGCGCAACCCUUAUUAUCAGUUGCCAGCAUUAAGUUGGGCACUCUGGUGAGACUGCCGGUGACAAACCGGAGGAAGGUGGGGAUGACGUCAAAUCAUCAUGCCCCUUAUGACCUGGGCUACACACGUGCUACAAUGGAUGGUACAACGAGUUGCGAACUCGCGAGAGUAAGCUAAUCUCUUAAAGCCAUUCUCAGUUCGGAUUGUAGGCUGCAACUCGCCUACAUGAAGUCGGAAUCGCUAGUAAUCGCGGAUCAGCAUGCCGCGGUGAAUACGUUCCCGGGCCUUGUACACACCGCCCGUCACACCAUGAGAGUUUGUAACACCCAAAGUCGGUGGGGUAACCUUUUAGGAACCAGCCGCCU
This 1440-nucleotide ribosomal RNA is filed under the name Lactiplantibacillus plantarum. RNAcentral describes it as "bacterial SSU rRNA". It matches the Rfam family "Bacterial small subunit ribosomal RNA". The record is from RNAcentral. Lineage: Bacteria; Bacillati; Bacillota; Bacilli; Lactobacillales; Lactobacillaceae.